GCGCGGGCUCAACCCGCGGACGGCACAUGAUACUGCGAGACUAGAAUAAUGGAGGGGGAACCGGAAUUCUCAGUGUAGCAGUGAAAUUCGUAGAUAUCGAGAGGAACACUCGUGGCGAAGGCGGGUUCCUGGACAUUAACUGACGCUGAGGCACGAAGGCCAGGGGAGCGAAAGGGAUUAGAUACCCCUGUAGUCCUGGCAGUAAACGGUGCACGCUUGGUGUGCGGGGAAUCGACCCCCUGCGUGCCGGAGCUAACGCGUUAAGCGUGCCGCCUGGGGAGUACGGUCGCAAGAUUAAAACUCAAAGAAAUUGACGGGGACCCGCACAAGCGGUGGAGUAUGUGGCUUAAUUCGAUGCAACGCGAAGAACCUUACCUGGGCUUGACAUGUAAUGAACAACAUGUGAAAGCAUGCGACUCUUCGGAGGCGUUACACAGGUGCUGCAUGGCCGUCGUCAGCUCGUGUCGUGAGAUGUUUGGUUAAGUCCAGCAACGAGCGCAACCCCUGUUGCCAGUUACCAGCACGUGAAGGUGGGGACUCUGGCGAGACUGCCCAGAUCAACUGGGAGGAAGGUGGGGACGACGUCAGGUCAGUAUGGCCCUUAUGCCCAGGGCUGCACACGUACUACAAUGCCCAGUACAGAGGGGGCCGAAGCCGCGAGGCGGAGGAAAUCUCUGAA
RNAcentral lists this ribosomal RNA (679 nucleotides) under human gut metagenome. RNAcentral describes it as "bacterial SSU rRNA". It matches the Rfam family "Bacterial small subunit ribosomal RNA", at positions 601 to 1279 of the family's 1533-position model. The record is from RNAcentral.